Molecule: ribosomal RNA, 336 nt
Filed under: Triticum aestivum (bread wheat)
Lineage: Eukaryota; Viridiplantae; Streptophyta; Magnoliopsida; Poales; Poaceae
Description: partial small subunit ribosomal RNA
Source: RNAcentral
AUGACUGCUAUAUUCUCCGACUUUUGUGAAAAGAUUGAUGAGGUUUUCAUGGAUGAUUUCUCUGUUUACGAAACUUCUUUUGAUGAUUGCUUAAGCAACCUUGACCGAGUUUUGCAGAGAUGUGAAGAAACUAAUCUUGUAUUGAAUUGGGAGAAGUGCCACUUUAUGGUUAAUGAAGGUAUUGUCUUGGGGCAUAAAGUUUCCGAAGGAGGUAUUGAAGUUGAUAAAGCUAAAGUAGAUGCUAUUGAAAAGAUGAAGUGUCCUAAAGAUAUUAAAGGUAUAAGAAGUUUCCUUGGUCAUGCUAGUUUCUAUAGGAGGUUUAUUAAAGACUUCUAA